GUCUGAUUGGAUACCUCUAAUUAAGAAGGUGCAUAGAAGCAAAUGAAGCAGAGUACUAUGUAACAUGCAUGCAUCUGGAAUGGUGAAAAGCCUCGAGGACCCGCAGGAAAAUUUUACACAUGCCUUCGGGAGGUUUCAGGAAUAGGAACACAAGCGUGUCACUCAGAGAUUAUCAGCUGGACAGAGGAAAAGGUUCAAGGAUGUACUCAAAGCUUCCUUGAAGAAAUGCACCAUUCUCACCGACUCCUGAGAAUCUCUGACCUUGGACCACUCAAGGGUGAGGAGCAGCAUUCUG
Pristis pectinata (smalltooth sawfish) is the source of this 295-nucleotide long non-coding RNA. RefSeq lists it as uncharacterized. The record is from RefSeq and is a predicted model, not a curated record. Lineage: Eukaryota; Metazoa; Chordata; Chondrichthyes; Rhinopristiformes; Pristidae. The transcript is spliced from 3 exons.